UACAGAGGUCUCAAGCGUUGUUCGGAUUCAUUGGGCGUAAAGGGUGCGUAGGUGGCGCGGUAAGUCGGAUGUGAAAGCCCUGGGCUCAACCUAGGAAGUGCACUCGAAACUGCAUGGCUGGAGUUCUGGAGAGGAAGGCGGAAUUCUCGGUGUAGAGGUGAAAUUCGUAGAUAUCGAGAGGAACACCGGUGGCGAAGGCGGCCUUCUGGACAGUGACUGACGCUGAGACGCGAAAGCGUGGGGAGCAAACAGG
This 253-nucleotide ribosomal RNA is filed under the name uncultured bacterium. RNAcentral describes it as "partial 16S ribosomal RNA". It matches the Rfam family "Bacterial small subunit ribosomal RNA", at positions 524 to 776 of the family's 1533-position model. The record is from RNAcentral.